UACGUAGGGUGCAAGCGUUAAUCGGAAUUACUGGGCGUAAAGCGUGCGCAGGCGGUUGUGUAAGACAGGUGUGAAAUCCCCGGGCUUAACCUGGGAAUUGCAUUUGUGACUGCACGACUAGAGUGUGUCAGAGGGGGGUGGAAUUCCACGUGUAGCAGUGAAAUGCGUAGAUAUGUGGAGGAACACCAAUGGCGAAGGCAGCCCCCUGGGAUAACACUGACGCUCAUGCACGAAAGCGUGGGGAGCAAACAGGAUUAGAUACCCUGGUAGUCCACGCCCUAAACGAUGUCAACUAGUUGUUGGGGAUUUACUUCCUUGGUAACGUAGCUAACGCGUGAAGUUGACCGCCUGGGGAGUACGGCCGCAAGGUUA
This 372-nucleotide ribosomal RNA is filed under the name uncultured bacterium. Its description in RNAcentral is "bacterial SSU rRNA". It matches the Rfam family "Bacterial small subunit ribosomal RNA", at positions 524 to 896 of the family's 1533-position model. The record is from RNAcentral.